This 99-nucleotide non-coding RNA is filed under the name unclassified sequences. RNAcentral describes it as "GP20-a RNA". It matches the Rfam family "GP20-a RNA". Rfam says of the family: gut metagenomes. Environment (Cow rumen (57)) The record is from RNAcentral.
AAUACCCGGUGUUGCAGGGAAAUAAAUGCGACAGCAUCACAACCGCAGAGUGGCUGCGGAAAUAAAAAUUAAAUCUAUGAUGGCAAAGAAAAGGAGAAC